UAAAAUAGGUGAUUACAUACCACA
RNAcentral lists this non-coding RNA (24 nucleotides) under Arabidopsis thaliana (thale cress). The record is from RNAcentral. Lineage: Eukaryota; Viridiplantae; Streptophyta; Magnoliopsida; Brassicales; Brassicaceae.